UCUAAUAUGGCAGAAUAGUGCAAUGAAUUUAAGCUUCAUAUAUAAAAUUAAAUAAAUUUUUAUUAGAA
RNAcentral lists this transfer RNA (68 nucleotides) under Scarabaeoidea sp. KM-2017. RNAcentral's name for it is "tRNA-Leu". Lineage: Eukaryota; Metazoa; Arthropoda; Insecta; Coleoptera. The record is from RNAcentral.